RNAcentral lists this ribosomal RNA (589 nucleotides) under uncultured Actinomycetes bacterium. RNAcentral's name for it is "bacterial SSU rRNA". It matches the Rfam family "Bacterial small subunit ribosomal RNA", at positions 232 to 833 of the family's 1533-position model. The record is from RNAcentral. Lineage: Bacteria; Bacillati; Actinomycetota; Actinomycetes.
CGCGGCCUAUCAGCUUGUUGGUGGGGUAACGGCCUACCAAGGCGACGACGGGUAGCCGGCCUGAGAGGGCGACCGGCCACACUGGGACUGAGACACGGCCCAGACUCCUACGGGAGGCAGCAGUGGGGAAUAUUGCGCAAUGGGCGAAAGCCUGACGCAGCGACGCCGCGCGGGGGAUGAAGGCCUUCGGGUUGCAAACCCCUUUCAGCAGGGACGAAGCGAAAGUGACGGUACCUGCAGAAGAAGCGCCGGCUAACUACGUGCCAGCAGCCGCGGUAACACGUAGGGCGCAAGCGUUGUCCGGAAUUAUUGGGCGUAAAGAGCUCGUAGGCGGUCUGUUGCGUCCGCUGUGAAAACUCGGGGCUUAACCCCGAGCCUGCAGUGGAUACGGGCAGACUAGAGGUAGGUAGGGGAGAAUGGAAUUCCCGGUGUAGCGGUGAAAUGCGCAGAUAUCGGGAGGAACACCGGUGGCGAAGGCGGUUCUCUGGGCCUUACCUGACGCUGAGGAGCGAAAGCGUGGGGAGCGAACAGGAUUAGAUACCCUGGUAGUCCACGCCGUAAACGUUGGGCGCUAGGUGUGGGAUCCUUC